This 253-nucleotide ribosomal RNA is filed under the name uncultured bacterium. Its description in RNAcentral is "partial 16S ribosomal RNA". It matches the Rfam family "Bacterial small subunit ribosomal RNA", at positions 524 to 776 of the family's 1533-position model. The record is from RNAcentral.
UACGGAGGGUGCAAGCGUUAUCCGGAUUUAUUGGGUUUAAAGGGUGCGUAGGCGGAUUAAUAAGUCAGUGGUGAAAUCCUGCAGCUCAACUGUAGAACUGCCAUUGAUACUGUUAAUCUUGAGUGUAGUUGAGGUAGGCGGAAUAUAUCAUGUAGCGGUGAAAUGCGUAGAUAUGAUAUAGAACACCAAUUGCGAAGGCAGCUUACUAAACUAUUACUGACGCUCAGGCACGAAAGCGUGGGUAGCGAACAGG